GAUGAAGAACGCAGCGAAAUGCGAUAAGUAAUGCGAAUUGCAGAAUCCGUGAGUCAUCGAAUCUUUGAACGCACAUUGCGCCCUUUGGUAUUCCGAAGGGCAUGCCUGUUCGAGCGUCAUUAUCACCCCUCAAGCCCCGGCUUGGUGUUGGGCUCUCGGUGGUCGUCUCCGACCACCCGUCUCAAAGAUAAUGACGGCGUCCCAGAGGGAACCGGUACGAGGAGCUUUCACGAGCAUGUACGCGGGACGACUCUGCGGGCGACGGUCUUAUUUACUUUAUAUACAAGUGUUGACCUCGGAUCAGGUAGGAAUACCCGCUGAACUUAAGCAUAUCAAUAAGCGGAGGA
Molecule: unclassified non-coding RNA, 347 nt
Filed under: soil metagenome
Description: partial contains 5.8S ribosomal RNA, internal transcribed spacer 2, and large subunit ribosomal RNA
Rfam family: 5.8S ribosomal RNA (bases 1-119)
Source: RNAcentral